RNAcentral lists this ribosomal RNA (466 nucleotides) under uncultured Anaerolineaceae bacterium. Its description in RNAcentral is "bacterial SSU rRNA". It matches the Rfam family "Bacterial small subunit ribosomal RNA", at positions 901 to 1382 of the family's 1533-position model. Lineage: Bacteria; Bacillati; Chloroflexota; Anaerolineae; Anaerolineales; Anaerolineaceae. The record is from RNAcentral.
UUAAAGGAAUUGACGGGGCCCGCACAAGCAGCGGAGCGUGUGGUUUAAUUCGUUGCUACACGAAGAACCUUACCUGGGUUUGACAUAUAGGUUGUAGGGAACUGAAAAGGGACCGACCUUCGGGGAGCCUAUACAGGUGUUGCAUGGCUGUCGUCAGCUCGUGUCGUGAGAUGUUCGGUUAAGUCCACUAACGAGCGCAACCCUCGUCGUAUGUUAUAUGUGUCAUACGAGACUGCCGGUAAAAAGCCGGAGGAAGGUGAGGAUGAUGUCAAGUCAGCAUGACCUUUAUAUCCAGGGCUACACACACGCUACAAUGGUCUGUACAACGGGUAGCCAAGCCGCGAGGCGGAGCCAAUCCUGAAAGCAGGCCUCAGUUCAGAUUGCAGUCUGCAACUCGACUGCAUGAAGCCGGAGUUGCUAGUAACCGCAGGUCAGCAAUACUGCGGUGAAUACGUUCCCGGGUCUU